GAUGAACGCUAGCUACAGGCUUAACACAUGCAAGUCGAGUGACCGGCGCCCGGGUGAGUAACACGUAUCCAACCUGCCCUUUACUCGUGGAUAGCCUUUCGAAAGACAGAUUAAUACCCAAUAUAAAGGAUGGGGAUGCGUUCCAUUAUGUUGUUGGUGAGGUACCGGCUCACCAAGCCUUCGAUGGAUAGGGGUUCUGAGAGGAAGGUCCCCCAGAUUGGAACGUAGACACGGUCCAAACUCCGACGGGAGGCAGCAGUGAGUAAUAUUGGUCAAUGGGCGCUAGCCUGAAACAGCCAAGUAGCGGGAAGGAGGAAGGCUUAUGGGUCGUAAACUUCUUGGAUAUAAGAAUAGGUAUUAUAUGAAUAAGGAUCGGCUAACUACGUGCCAGCAGCCGCGGUAAUUC
RNAcentral lists this ribosomal RNA (406 nucleotides) under uncultured bacterium. RNAcentral describes it as "partial 16S ribosomal RNA". It matches the Rfam family "Bacterial small subunit ribosomal RNA", at positions 28 to 526 of the family's 1533-position model. The record is from RNAcentral.